AUGUCGGAGGUGAGCCGGAGUCUGCUGCAGCGCUGGGGCACCAGUUUUAGGAGAGGCGCCGACUUCGAUUCUUGGGGCCAGCUGGUGGAGGUGAUAGACGAGUAUCAGAUAUUAGCAAGACAUCUACAAAAAGAGGCCCAAGCUCAACACAAUAAUUCUGAAUUCACAGAACAACAGAAGAAAACCAUAGGCAAAAUUGCAACAUGCUUGGGAUUGCGAAGUGCAGCUUUACAGUCCACACAGUCCCAAGAAGAAUUUAAACUGGAGGAUCUGAAGAAACUAGAACCAAUCCUAAAGAAUAUUCUUACAUAUAAUAAAGAAUUCCCAUUUGAUGUUCAGCCUAUCCCAUUAAGAAGGAUUUUAGCACCUGGUGAAGAAGAGAAUUUAGAAUUUGAAGAAGAUGAAGAAGAGGGUGGUGCUGGAGCAGGGUCUCCUGAUUCUUUUCCUGCUAGAGUACCGGGCACUUUAUUAUCAAGAUUGCCAUCAGAACCAGGAAUGACAUUACUCGCUAUCAGAAUUGAGAAAAUUGGUUUCAAAGAUGCUGGGCAGUGCAUCGAUCCCUAUAGUACAGUUAGUGUAAAGGAUCUGAAUGGCAUAGAUUUAACUCCUGUGCAAGAUACUCCUGUGGCUUCAAGAAAAGAAGAUACAUAUGUUCAUUUUAAUGUGGAUAUUGAACUCCAGAAGCAUGUUGAAAAAUUAACCAAAGGUGCAGCUAUCUUCUUUGAAUUCAAACACUACAAGCCUAAAAAAAAGGUUUACCAGCACCGUUUUGCUUUCAUAGAGAUGGAUGAAAUUAAACCUGGAUCAAUUGUAAUAGAACUAUACAAGAAACUCAAUGACUUUAAAAGAAAGAAAUUACAAUUAUUGACCAACAAACCACUUUAUCUUCAUCUACAUCAAACAUUGCACAAGGAAUGAUCCUGACAUGAUUAACCUGGAACAUCUGUGAAUUUUACCACUCGGUAGAAACCAUCAUAGCUCUGUGUAGCAUAUUCACCCUUCAACAGGCAGGAAGCAAGCUGUACCCAUACCAGUAGGCCAGAGUGAGUCCACUGCAAAGCUGUACCACAGAAUUCAAAGUCCAGCACAUCACUGACGUAUAAGACUUCUUUGGAUACAGGUUUAUUGUAGAUUUCAAAAUAUGUUUUUACUUUUCUAUUGUGCAAUUCAUAGUCUGUUUUGUAAUUUACUAUUACUCUUGCCCUGCUUCCUGGAACAAUACUGUUGUGUGUAGAAUGUGCUCAUCUUCAAACUUAAUACAGCAAUAAGAAUGUGCUAGAGUUUACACAUUUGUUCACUUUUGCUCUCAUAUGCUCUUUUGGUUUGAGUUAACUUCAAGCUUUGGGUUGAUGUGGGUAGGAUAGUAUCCAACUGUUUUGAGAGGAAUUGAACCAAUUA
This is an RNA transcript of Carlito syrichta (Philippine tarsier), 1398 nucleotides long. It is a transcript of the gene named axin interactor, dorsalization-associated protein pseudogene, with no coding region annotated. NCBI's taxonomy places the organism in Eukaryota, Metazoa, Chordata, Mammalia, Primates, Tarsiidae. The record is from RefSeq and is a predicted model, not a curated record. The transcript has a single exon.